This 250-nucleotide unclassified non-coding RNA is filed under the name plant metagenome. Its description in RNAcentral is "partial contains small subunit ribosomal RNA, internal transcribed spacer 1, and 5.8S ribosomal RNA". The stretch from base 198 to 250 matches the Rfam family "5.8S ribosomal RNA", at positions 1 to 53 of the family's 154-position model. The record is from RNAcentral.
GUUGGUGAACCAGCGGAGGGAUCAUUAUCGAGUUACAAGACUCCCAAACCCCCUGUGAACCGUACCACACGCGUUGCCUCGGCGGGACCGCCCCGGCGCCCCAGCGGCCCGGACCAAGGCGCCCGCCGGAGGACCACCCAGACUCUCCUGUCGCAGUGGCAUUUCUCUCCGAGUCAAAAAACAAGCAAAUGAAUCAAAACUUUCAACAACGGAUCUCUUGGUUCUGGCAUCGAUGAAGAACGCAGCAUCU